UGGGGAAUAUUGCACAAUGGGGGGAACCCUGAUGCAGCGACGCCGCGUGAGCGAAGAAGUAUUUCGGUAUGUAAAGCUCUAUCAGCAGGGAAGAAAAUGACGGUACCUGAGUAAGAAGCUCCGGCUAAAUACGUGCCAGCAGCCGCGGUAAUACGUAUGGAGCAAGCGUUAUCCGGAUUUACUGGGUGUAAAGGGAGCGUAGGCGGCCAGACAAGUCUGAUGUGAAAGGCUGGGGCUCAACCCCAGGACUGCAUUGGAAACUGUAAGGCUAGAGUGUCGGAGAGGCAGGCGGAAUUCCUAGUGUAGCGGUGAAAUGCGUAGAUAUUAGGAGGAACACCAGUGGCGAAGGCGGCCUGCUGGACGAUAACUGACGCUGAGGCUCGAAAGCGUGGGGAGCAAACAGG
RNAcentral lists this ribosomal RNA (404 nucleotides) under uncultured bacterium. RNAcentral describes it as "bacterial SSU rRNA". It matches the Rfam family "Bacterial small subunit ribosomal RNA", at positions 355 to 776 of the family's 1533-position model. The record is from RNAcentral.